This 971-nucleotide ribosomal RNA is filed under the name Cantharellus albovenosus. Its description in RNAcentral is "partial large subunit ribosomal RNA". It matches the Rfam family "Eukaryotic large subunit ribosomal RNA", at positions 363 to 1365 of the family's 3401-position model. Lineage: Eukaryota; Fungi; Basidiomycota; Agaricomycetes; Cantharellales; Hydnaceae. The record is from RNAcentral.
GAUGAAAUAGAACUCUGUGAAGGGAGUCAAAAAGACGUGAAAUUGUUGCGAGAGAAGCGAUCAAGUCAGCGUAGCUAGGCCCAUCAAGCUUCUGCUUUGGACUAGCUUUGCCAGCGGUCUUGUCCUUUUAGAGACUUGACUUUUGACGUGCCCUGUCCGGUCUAACGGGCAGGCCCUUCGGGGCCAGUGGCAUGGCUGGUGGAAUGGCUUGCAAUCGACCCGUCUUGAAACACGGACCAAGGAGUCUAACAUGUGUGCGAGUAUAAGGGUGGCAAACCCGUAUGCGCAAAGAAAGUGAUAGCCUUUUAUGGCUGAGAAUGGCCUGAUGACCAGACAAGCAAUAUUAUGUUCCUCGUACGGUCAUUGCCCAAGUCCCGUGGUCAGAUCCCAUGGACAUGGAGUUAGAGCAUACAUGCUAGGACCCGAAAGAUGGUGAACUAUGCCUGGACAAAGCGAAGCCAAAGGAAACUCUGGUGGAGGCUUGUAGCGAUUCUGACGUGCAAAUCGAUCGUCUGAUCUGGGUAUAGGGGCGAAAGACUAAUCGAACCAUCUCAUAGCUGGUUCCUGCCGAAGUUUCCCUCAGGAUAGCAGAGACCUUGUGGAAGUUGCAUGUGGUAAAGCGAAUGAUUAUUGACCCUGGGGCUCAAAUGGGCCUCAAUCUAUUCUCAAACUGUGAAUGCGUGCGGUUGGACUGUGCUUUGCGUAGAAGCCCUGCCAGCAAUGCUUCAGUCUCUAGUGGGCCGUUUCUGGUAAGCAGAACUGGCGAUGCGGGAUGAACCGAAAGUGAGGUUAAAGUGCCAGAAUGCACACUAACCAGAGAUAAAAGGCGUAUGUGCAUGGACACAGCAGGGCAGUGGCCAUGGAGGUUGGCAUCUGCUAAGGAGUGUGUAACAACUCACCUGCCUAAUGUACUUGCCCUGAAAAUGGAUGGCGCUCAAGUGUGUUACUCAUACCUCACCAUCAGUCUCAAG